UCACGGUUUGUACAGAUCCUUUUCCGAAUGAUUUUUCACCCAUGACAACCGCGCGUCGAUGGUCUUGCAAGGCACCUGCCACAAUUUCAGAGGCCGAAGCCGACCCCCCGUUAAUUAAAACAACCAUCGGCAAUCCAUCGGCUAAAUCACCCUUGGUGGCCAUAUCGCGACGUAUGUCUUCUUCCUGUCGUCCACGGGUGGAAACAAUUUCGCCAUAGUUUAAAAAAUGGUCUGAAACACCGAUUGCUUCGGUCAAGAGGCCUCCUGGAUUGUUUCGA
RNAcentral lists this non-coding RNA (278 nucleotides) under marine eukaryotic metagenome. The record is from RNAcentral.